Molecule: ribosomal RNA, 578 nt
Filed under: uncultured bacterium
Lineage: Bacteria
Description: bacterial SSU rRNA
Rfam family: Bacterial small subunit ribosomal RNA
Source: RNAcentral
CCUACGGGAGGCAGCAGUAAGGAAUAUUGGUCAAUGGACGCAAGUCUGAACCAGCCAUGCCGCGUGAAGGAUUAAGGUCCUCUGGAUUGUAAACUUCUUUUAUUUGGGACGAAAAAAGGGCCUUUCUAGGUCAACUGACGGUACCAGAUGAAUAAGCACCGGCUAACUCCGUGCCAGCAGCCGCGGUAAUACGGAGGGUGCAAGCGUUAUCCGGAUUCACUGGGUUUAAAGGGUGCGUAGGCGGGUAGGUAAGUCAGUGGUGAAAUCCUGGAGCUCAACUCCAGAACUGCCAUUGAUACUAUUUAUCUUGAAUAUUGUGGAGGUAAGCGGAAUAUGUCAUGUAGCGGUGAAAUGCUUAGAUAUGACAUAGAACACCUAUUGCGAAGGCAGCUUACUACGCAUAUAUUGACGCUGAGGCACGAAAGCGUGGGGAUCAAACAGGAUUAGAUACCCUGGUAGUCCACGCCCUAAACUAUGAUUACUCGACAUUUGUGAUACACAAUAAGUGUCUGAGCGAAAGCAUUAAGUAAUCCACCUGGAAGUACGUCCGCAAGGAUGAAACUCAAAGGAAUUGACGG